UGUAUGAUUAGCAUUUUUAUUAAUCAUCCCUCUUAUUUAAAAUUUUGUAUGAUUAGCAUUUUUAUUGUUAUUAGGUGAUAAAAUAUGAAUAGUACUUUAUACGUGAGAACGUGAUUUAUGCUUUUUAAUUUGGUAAAAAAAAAUUAAAUAGGACAGACAAUUAAAAUUGGACACGGAAACUCAUGGCUGCGUUUAAA
This 197-nucleotide microRNA precursor is filed under the name Oryza barthii. RNAcentral's name for it is "MIR812 microRNA precursor family". It matches the Rfam family "MIR812 microRNA precursor family", at positions 23 to 205 of the family's 205-position model. Lineage: Eukaryota; Viridiplantae; Streptophyta; Magnoliopsida; Poales; Poaceae. The record is from Rfam by way of RNAcentral.